Molecule: ribosomal RNA, 440 nt
Filed under: uncultured bacterium
Lineage: Bacteria
Description: partial 16S ribosomal RNA
Rfam family: Bacterial small subunit ribosomal RNA
Source: RNAcentral
CCUACGGGGUGCAGCAGUGGGGAAUAUUGCACAAUGGGGGAAACCCUGAUGCAGCGACGCCGCGUGAGUGAAGAAGUAAUUCGUUAUGGAAAGCUCUAUCAGCAGGGAAGAAAAUGACGGUACCUGAGUAAGAAGCCCCGGCUAACUACGUGCAAGCAGCCGCGGUAAUACGUAGGGGGCAAGCGUUAUCCGGAUUUACUGGGUGUAAAGGGAGCGUAGACGGCAGUGCAAGUCUGGAGUGAAAGGCGGGGGCUCAACCCCCGUACUGCUCUGGAAACUGUACGGCGGGAGUGGAGGAGAGGUAAGUGGAAUUCGUAGUGUAGCGGUGAAAUGCGUAGAUAUUAGGAGGAACACCAGUGGCGAAGGCGGCUUACUGGACUCUAACUGACGUUGAGGCUCGAAAGCGUGGGGAGCAAACAGGAUUAGAUACCCGAGUAGUC